GAGCGAUUUUCUUCGGAAGAGAGCGGCGGACGGGUGAGUAACGCGUGGGUAACCUGCCCUGUACACACGGAUAACAUACCGAAAGGUAUGCUUAUACGGGAUAACAUAAGAAAGUCGCAUGGCUUUCUUAUCAAAGCUUUUGCGGUACAGGAUGGACCCGCGUCUGAUUAGCUAGUUGGUAAGGUAACGGCUUACCAAGGCGACGAUCAGUAGCCGACCUGAGAGGGUGAUCGGCCACAUUGGAACUGAGACACGGUCCAAACUCCUACGGGAGGCAGCAGUGGGGAAUAUUGCACAAUGGGCGAAAGCCUGAUGCAGCAACGCCGCGUGAGCGAUGAAGGCCUUCGGGUCGUAAAGCUCUGUCCUCAAGGAAGAUAAUGACGGUACUUGAGGAGGAAGCCCCGGCUAACUACGUGCCAGCAGCCGCGGUAAUACGUAGGGGGCUAGCGUUAUCCGGAAUUACUGGGCGUAAAGGGUGCGUAGGCGGUCUUUCAAGUCAGAAGUGAAAGGCUACGGCUCAACCGUAGUAAGCUUUUGAAACUGUAAGACUUGAGUGCAGGAGAGGAGAGUGGAAUUCCUAGUGUAGCGGUGAAAUGCGUAGAUAUUAGGAGGAACACCAGUUGCGAAGGCGGCUCUCUGGACUGUAACUGACGCUGAGGCACGAAAGCGUGGGGAGCAAACAGG
Molecule: ribosomal RNA, 684 nt
Filed under: uncultured Clostridium sp.
Lineage: Bacteria; Bacillati; Bacillota; Clostridia; Eubacteriales; Clostridiaceae
Description: bacterial SSU rRNA
Rfam family: Bacterial small subunit ribosomal RNA
Source: RNAcentral